This 197-nucleotide ribosomal RNA is filed under the name uncultured bacterium. Its description in RNAcentral is "partial 16S ribosomal RNA". It matches the Rfam family "Bacterial small subunit ribosomal RNA", at positions 328 to 539 of the family's 1533-position model. The record is from RNAcentral.
ACGCUCGACACCUACGGGGGGCAGCAGUGGGGAAUAUUGCACAAUGGGGGAAACCCUGAUGCAGCGACGCCGCGUGAGCGAAGAAGUAUUUCGGUAUGUAAAGCUCUAUCAGCAGGGAAGAAACUGACGGUACCUGACUAAGAAGCACCGGCUAAAUACGUGCCACAGCCGCGGUAAUCUGAGCGGGCUGGCAAGGC